Molecule: non-coding RNA, 888 nt
Organism: Leptonychotes weddellii (Weddell seal)
Lineage: Eukaryota; Metazoa; Chordata; Mammalia; Carnivora; Phocidae
Source: RefSeq, a predicted model, not a curated record
CAUUCCUUGGAAGAGAUUUACCUCCAGCAGGAGGUGGCCUGAAUGAAGAUUGUGUUGCCAUUGAAGGGCUGGCUGAUAUCAUAAUCUGCCUUAGAAGCGAUAUCAGUACUGAUUAUUUUAAGCUCAUUGAAGUCUUUAGGAGUCUGUAUUUUUCAUUAGUGCAUGGGCUGAAGACUGUUUUUCUCAUUAUAUGAGUGAAGACUGACUGUACCUAGAAAAGCAAUAAACAUCCCUUUGGAGACUUUCUCCUAAGAGAGGAGGAAGAAAUUAAAAGCUGUGUUCUCUUAACUCUCAGCCAGACUCAGAAUGGCGCAGGAAGACAAACCUUCUCCCAGCCUGAUCUCCAGGGAGUCUCUUGUUAUGGAAACAGUCCUUCCCCAAAGCCUCUUUGGCAGUUUGGUCACCCCAGGAAUAAUCACAUGUCCCACAGACAGAGCCAGAUUUUAGAUGACCUUAAAAUCCAAGAGCAUGGGUUUUAUUCUGUACUUAGAAAACCAUUGCUGAGUGAAUAAAGGAGUGAUCAGAUGAGUGAGAUAAUGAAGAGAAGAGAAACUAUUUUGAUGGCCUAGAGCAGAAGAUCCAUGGAAGUACACUGGCAGGAUAUGGCCAGAGACAGUAUGGAAGAGAGUUGGCGUCUAAGACAACUUUGGAUUUGGUGUUUAGGGGCCAGAAAUGAAUGACCAAGAGAAAUUGGAAGUCAGAAGCAUUAGUUUUUACUUCUUAAAGUUUCGUUACCCACCAUCAAUCGCGGUCAGGAAGCCGAUGAUCCUCCUCCUGACAAAUCAUUGGAAGGUCAAUAGUAGCCUAACUUUACAUCACAACGCCUGCGUCAUUCAGUCUUUUUGCUUCAUCUCAUCCCGUAGGCAUUUUAUCAUCUCACAUCAUCAC